UAUAUAAAUGAGGUGCGGCGGAGGCGCCGCCGUGGAGCCGCCGCCUCCUCACUGCUUUGCAGCUGCGUGGGGAACCUGGACCGCGGCGGCGCCGAGUUGCCCUGAUGAUCCCCGGCGGGCUGUGGUGGCAGAGGCGCCGGGAGAAUGACCUCUUCCUGGGAGCGGGGUGCCGACCUGGCCCGAUUCUAUACUGUCACCGAGCCCCAGCGACACCCGAGGGGCUACACAGUGUAUAAAGUCACCGCCAGGGUUGUUUCAGGAAGAAAUCCAGAGGAUGUCCAGGAGGGAGAAUCCUGAACCAACCUAUCCAUGAACAUACUUUCUGCCAUUUCCUUAAUCCUUUUUUGGGGAAAACUCUUUUAUAAUAACAACUGUUGGUGAACCAUUCAUCAGAAAACUCUUAUAAUCGUAUGGAAGAGAUACAGUGAUUUUAAGAAACUACACAAAGAACUGUGGCAAAUUCACAAAUUCACUUAUUCCGACAUUCAGAAUUGUUUCCUCCCUUUGCUAAAGGAAUAGUGUUUGGGCGAUUUGAUGAAGCUGUUAUUGAAGAGAGAAGACUGUGCUGAAGACCUGCUACAGUUCUCUGCCAAUAUUCCUGCUCUUUACAACAGUAAACAGCUUGAAGAUUUUUUCAAGGGUGGAAUAAUUAAUGAUGGUUCUGAAUUAAUUGGUCCUCCUGAAGCUUACUCAGAUCCCUUCAUUGAUACUUUUCCUGAGUGUAGUACAGAAGGCUUCUCCAGUGACAGUGAUCUGAUAUCUCUUACUGUUGAUGUGGAUUCUCUUGCUGAGUUGGAUGAUGGAAUGGCUUCCAAUCAAAAUUCUCCCAUUAGAACUUUUGGUCUCACUCUUUCUUCGGAUUCUUCAGCACUAGGGGCUGUUGCUUCUGAAAGUGAACAGAACAAAACAGAAGAAGAACAGGAAAGUCGUAGCCUCUUUCCUGGCAGUUUAAAGUCCAAGCUUGGCAAGAGAGAUUAUUUGGAAAAAGCAGGAGAAUUAAUAAAGUUGGCUUUAAAAAAGGAAGAAGAAGACAACUAUGAAGCUGCUUCUGAUUUUUACAGGAAAGGAGUUGAUUUACUCCUAGAAGGUGUUCAAGGAGAGUCAAGCCCUACCCGUCGAGAAGCGGUAAAGAGAAGAACAUCAGAGUAUCUCAUGCGGGCAGAAAGUAUCUCUAGUCUUUAUGGCAAACCUCAACUUGAUGAUGUAUCUCAGCCUCCAGGAUCACUAAGUUCAAGGCCCCCUUGGAACCUAAGGAGCCCUAAGGCCUUCAGAGUCCUUGGGGUGAUUGACAAGGUUUUACUUGUAAUGGACACAAGGACAGAACAGACAUUCAUUUUAAAAGGUCUGAGGAAAAGCAGUGAAUACAGCAGGAACAGAAAGACCAUCAUCCCCCGCUGUGUGCCCAACAUGGUGUGUCUGCACAAGUACAUCAUCUCUGAGGAGUCAGUAUUUCUUGUGCUGCAGCAUGCAGAAGGUGGCAAGCUCUGGUCAUAUAUCAGUAAAUUUUUGAGCAGAAGUCCUGAAGAAAGCUUUGAAAUCAAGGAAAUGAAAAAAUCUACACUUACUAAAGUUCACCUGCAACAGCCAACUUCUAGUCCUCAGGACAGCAGCAGCUUUGAAUCCAGAGGAAGUGAUGGUGCAAGCAUGCUUCAAGUUCUGCCUUUGAAGACUAGUCUUACUCCAAGUUCUCAAGAUGAUAGCAACCAGGAAGACGAUGGCCAAGAUAGCUCUCCAAAGUGGCCAGAUUCUGGUUCAAGUUCAGAAGAAGAAUGCACUACUAGUUAUUUAACAUUAUGUAAUGAAUAUGGGCAAGAAAAGAUUGAGCCAGGGUCUUUGAACAAGGAGCCCUUCAUGAAGACUGAAGGGAACGGUGUUGAUACCACAGCUAUUAAAAGCUUCCCAGCAUACCUUGUUGCUGACAGUGACGGCACCAGCACUCAGCCAAGAGCUCAUGAGCUGAAGUUCUUCCCUAGAGAUGAUGACCCAGAAGCAGUUAGUUCUCCAAGAACUUCAGAUUCCCUCAGUAGAUCCAAAAAUAGCCCCAUGGAAUUUUUUAGGAUAGACAGUAAGGAUAGCACAAGUGAACUCCUGGGACUUGAUUUUGGAGAAAAAUCGUAUAGUUUAAAAUCAGAACCUUUAAAACCAUUCUUUACUCUUCCAGAUGGAGACAGCAAUUCCAAGAGUUUUAAUACUAGUGAAAGCCUGGUACAGUUUAAAGCUCAGGACACCAUUAGCAGGGGCUCAGAUGACUCAGUGCCAGUUAUUUCAUUUAAAGAUGCUGCUUUUGAUGAUGUCAGUGGUACUGCUGAAGGAAGACCUGAUCUUGUAAAUUUACCUGGUGAAUUGGAGCCAACAAAAGAAGCUGCAGGAAUAGGACCUACUAAGUUUACACAGACUAAUACAGGCAUAAUAGAAAGUAAACUAUUGGAAGCCCCUGAUGUUUUAUGCCUCAGUCUUAGUACUGAACAGUGCCAAGCACAUGAAGAGAAAGGCACAGAGGAAUUGAGUGAUCCCUCUAGGCCCAGAUCUCAUAGUAUAACAGAGAAACACUAUGCACAGGAGGAUCUUGGGACCUUAUUUGUAGCAGCUCUUGAUCAUAGUAGUUCAGGAGACAUGUCUUUGUUACACAGCUCAGAUCCUAAGUUUCAAGGACUUGGAGUGGUUGAUUCAGCAGUAACUACAGAUAACACCGAAGAAAGCUUAUUGCAUAUUUCUAGUCCACUCUCAGGUGCUAAUGAAUAUAUUGCAAACACAGACACUUUAAAAACAGAAGAAGUAUUGCUGUUUACAGAUCAAACUGAUGAUUUGGCUAAAGAGGAACCGACUUCUUUAUUCCAGAGAGACUCUGAGUCUAAGGGAGAAAGUAGGUUAGCACUAGAAGGAGACAAGGAAAUACAUCAGAUUUUUGAGGACCUUGAUAAAAAAAUUAGCACUAAACUCCAGGUUUUACAUCCCAGAGGGCUGCAUUCAAAGAUGGGCAGCUGAAACGGUGGUAGCCCUUGAUGCUUUACAUAGAGAGGGAAUUGUGUGCCGUGAUUUGAACCCAAACAACAUCUUAUUGAAUGAUAGAGGACACAUUCAGCUAACGUAUUUUAGCAGGUGGAGUGAGGUUGAAGAUUCCUGUGACAGCAAUGCCAUAGAGAGAAUGUACUGUGCCCCAGAGGUUGGAGCAAUCACAGAAGAAACUGAAGCCUGUGAUUGGUGGAGUUUGGGUGCUGUCCUCUUUGAACUUCUCACUGGCAAGACUCUGGUUGAGUGCCAUCCAGCAGGAAUAAAUACUCAUACUACUUUGAACAUGCCAGAAUGUGUCUCUGAAGAGGCUCGCUCACUCAUUCAACAGCUCUUGCAGUUCAACCCUCUGGAACGGCUUGGUGCUGGAGUUGCUGGUGUUGAAGAUAUUAAAUCUCAUCCAUUUUUUACCCCUGUGGAUUGGGCAGAACUGAUGAGAUGAAUACAAUUCAGGGUUAUCUUCACAUAUACUGAUCUCCCCUGGGACAGGCAUCUCCAGUGCAGAGGCUGCUCUGCCUCGUGGUUACUUGUGGAGCACCAAAGCAUUUGGAUGCAGACCUUUGUGGGAACUAGGGGGCAGAGGAAGGCUACAGAGAACAAUUAAUUUACAGUUACUGUCUGGACAAGAUAUUAGCUAAUUUUGCCAGAGGCCAUUAUAUAUACACCUCUAAUCAAGGUGUGAUCUUAAUUUAAUCUACAGAGUUCCUUCAAGAAAUUCCUCUGAUACUAAGUUCUAUGAAGUUUUACUUGAAAGAAGGACCUUUAUGUGGCAGCUAACAGUGCUUUCUGCUAACCAGGAUUGGUUUAUAUGAUCAAAUUAAUGUUUGCUUAAUAGUACACUAAAAAUACUUUGCAAAUAAUGUCAUCUUUGAGGCUUUAAAGUGA
Molecule: non-coding RNA, 3894 nt
Organism: Microcebus murinus (gray mouse lemur)
Lineage: Eukaryota; Metazoa; Chordata; Mammalia; Primates; Cheirogaleidae
Source: RefSeq, a predicted model, not a curated record